GACGAACGCUGGCGGCGUGCUCAACACAUGCAAGUCGAACGGUAAGGCCCUUCGGGGUACACGAGUGGCGAACGGGUGAGUAACACGUGGGUGAUCUGCCCUGCACUUUGGGAUAAGCCUGGGAAACUGGGUCUAAUACCGAAUACACCCUGCUGGUCGCAUGGCCUGGUGGGGGAAAGCUUUUGCGGUGUGGGAUGGGCCCGCGGCCUAUCAGCUUGUUGGUGGGGUGAUGGCCUACCAAGGCGACGACGGGUAGCCGGCCUGAGAGGGUGUCCGGCCACACUGGGACUGAGAUACGGCCCAGACUCCUACGGGAGGCAGCAGUGGGGAAUAUUGCACAAUGGGCGCAAGCCUGAUGCAGCGACGCCGCGUGAGGGAUGACGGCCUUCGGGUUGUAAACCUCUUUCAAUAGGGACGAAGCGCAAGUGACGGUACCUAUAGAAGAAGCACCGGCCAACUACGUGCCAGCAGCCGCGGUAAUACGUAGGGUGCGAGCGUUGUCCGGAAUUACUGGGCGUAAAGAGCUCGUAGGUGGUUUGUCGCGUUGUUCGUGAAAACUCACAGCUUAACUGUGGGCGUGCGGGCGAUACGGGCAGACUGGAGUACUGCAGGGGAGACUGGAAUUCCUGGUGUAGCGGUGGAAUGCGCAGAUAUCAGGAGGAACACCGGUGGCGAAGGCGGGUCUCUGGGCAGUAACUGACGCUGAGGAGCGAAAGCGUGGGGAGCGAACAGGAUUAGAUACCCUGGUAGUCCACGCCGUAAACGGUGGGUACUAGGUGUGGGUUUCCUUCCUUGGGAUCCGUGCCGUAGCUAACGCAUUAAGUACCCCGCCUGGGGAGUACGGCCGCAAGGCUAAAACUCAAAGAAAUUGACGGGGGCCCGCACAAGCGGCGGAGCAUGUGGAUUAAUUCGAUGCAACGCGAAGAACCUUACCUGGGUUUGACAUGCACAGGACGCCGGCAGAGAUGUCGGUUCCCUUGUGGCCUGUGUGCAGGUGGUGCAUGGCUGUCGUCAGCUCGUGUCGUGAGAUGUUGGGUUAAGUCCCGCAACGAGCGCAACCCUUGUCUCAUGUUGCCAGCACGUUAUGGUGGGGACUCGUGAGAGACUGCCGGGGUCAACUCGGAGGAAGGUGGGGAUGACGUCAAGUCAUCAUGCCCCUUAUGUCCAGGGCUUCACACAUGCUACAAUGGCCGGUACAAAGGGCUGCGAUGCCGUGAGGUGGAGCGAAUCCUUUCAAAGCCGGUCUCAGUUCGGAUCGGGGUCUGCAACUCGACCCCGUGAAGUCGGAGUCGCUAGUAAUCGCAGAUCAGCAACGCUGCGGUGAAUACGUUCCCGGGCCU
This 1340-nucleotide ribosomal RNA is filed under the name uncultured bacterium. RNAcentral's name for it is "bacterial SSU rRNA". It matches the Rfam family "Bacterial small subunit ribosomal RNA", at positions 28 to 1381 of the family's 1533-position model. The record is from RNAcentral.